Molecule: ribosomal RNA, 426 nt
Filed under: uncultured prokaryote
Description: bacterial SSU rRNA
Rfam family: Bacterial small subunit ribosomal RNA
Source: RNAcentral
GAGAAUCUUUCGCAAUGGGGGAAACCCUGACGACGCGACGCCGCGUGGAGGCUGAAGGCCUUCGGGUUGUAAACUCCUGUCAGCAGGGGAGAACAAGCUUUUGAUGAAUAAUCGAGAGCUUUGACAGUACCUGCAGAGGAAGCCACGGCUAACUCUGUGCCAGCAGCCGCGGUAAUGCAGAGGUGGCAAGCGUUGUUCGGAUUUAUUGGGCGUAAAGGGUCCGUAGGCGGCCUGAAAAGUUGGAUGUGAAAUCCCACAGCUUAACUGUGGAACUGCAUUCAAAACUCUCAGGCUCGAGUGUGAUAGGGGUAAAGGGAAUUCCCGGUGUAAGGGUGAAAUCUGCAGAGAUCGGGAGGAACACCAGUCGCGAAGGCGCUUUACUUGAUCACUACUGACGCUGAGGGACGAAAGCCAGGGGAGCAAACG